UCCGACCUCAGAUCGGACGAGAUUACCCGCUGAAUUUAAGCAUAUAACUAAGCGGAGGAAAAGAAACUAACAAGGAUU
Molecule: ribosomal RNA, 78 nt
Filed under: Isabellaria praestans
Lineage: Eukaryota; Metazoa; Mollusca; Gastropoda; Stylommatophora; Clausiliidae
Also listed under: 13 other names
Description: partial 28S ribosomal RNA
Rfam family: Eukaryotic large subunit ribosomal RNA
Source: RNAcentral